UGAAUUUCCACAGUACCUCUACGUCGCUGC
This 30-nucleotide non-coding RNA is filed under the name Homo sapiens (human). Lineage: Eukaryota; Metazoa; Chordata; Mammalia; Primates; Hominidae. The record is from RNAcentral.